This is a long non-coding RNA of Panicum virgatum (switchgrass), 1977 nucleotides long. RefSeq lists it as uncharacterized. Lineage: Eukaryota; Viridiplantae; Streptophyta; Magnoliopsida; Poales; Poaceae. The transcript has 2 exons. The record is from RefSeq and is a predicted model, not a curated record.
CCCACCCCCACUACCACCACUAGCAGCACCACCGCCGCCGAGCCCAGCACUCGCUCGGAUUUCUGUUCACGGCGGCGCCCAGUCGCCCACCCAAUCCCGGCACCCAGUCGCCGCUCCCUCCCCCAGACGCGCUCCCAAUCCCGGCGGCCAGCUCGGAUUUCUGUUCCUGGCGGCGCCGCACUACCCUGCCGUCGGCGGGCUUCCCAUCGGCGAACCUCGGGCCGUCUCCGCGAAGGGCUGCGCGGCCGGCCCCCGUCCCGCCCCGGCGAGCUGCAACCUCAGGAGAAGCUAGCCCGAUUGCGCCGCUGUACAGCCGAGAAAAACUGGUGCGUGACCACGGCGACCGCUGCGGUGACGGAGUUGUUGGCGGGCGGGGACGGCGGCGUGACCUCGGCGGACGCCGAGUCCUUAUGAUCCCGCAUGGAUGGCUAGGUGCUGGUCUCCGUGUGGUCAGCCUCUCCUCCUCGACUAGCUCUUGGCACGAUGGCGGCAGGUUCGUACCCCAUUUUUCCUGCGGAAGCCUUGAUUUUCCUUGCCAGUUCCCCUUCGGAUCACGGUCGACUGCAACGGAAUCGCAUUUACGGCGUUCUUUCUCAGUGGGGCGUGGUUCCAAUUCCUCCCGUUAUCCAUGGAUUUCCCCAACGCAAGGGAUGACGAGAAUGAUUCAGUUACCGACGCCUAUCCGCAACCAACGAGUUGCAGGAGACUAGCAGGCGCUCGACAAUGUGUUGUGAAGUCCCAGACCUGUCCGCCUCCAAGGCUCCAACACGAACGCAGUGUGCAGAGCACCUCUGUCGAGAUUUCGGGAGCAGGACGUCUUCUUGCAAACUUCUAGGCGCUGAGGUAGAUUUCUAACUGGUUCAGUGUGGUUUCCAAUUGUUGUAAGACUGUACCAGCUGUUGUUCAUUUGUUUGGGCUCUUGGAUAAGAUGGAUUCAGCAAAUCGUUAUCUUCUUGGUAUUUAUUUUUGUUGACAACUAAUUCAAGUUUGCAGUAAAGAGUGGGUCGAGAAGUGUAGAUCCCAUAGUUUGCUGGCUAAAGGAUGCUUGUUCUUCAUACAAGAACUAGAUGUUGUUUGUUGGCUGAGAGAUACCUGUUCAGAUAACUAGAGCUUUAAUUCCUUUUUGCUAAUAAACUAAUUGAUGACUUUUCUGUGUGAAUAUGACUAGAUGAGUUCUUGUUCCGUACUCAGAUAUGCAACUUAUUUUUGUUCAGAGAUGUAAAUGUUCACAUAUGCAUGCUUCUUAGUUGUUAGUGCCUGAUAUGGAUUCACCCGAAAGAUGCUGAAUUGCUGAUCUGAUUUGCUAAUCCAAUUUUGGUGCUAGGUGAAGACCUGCUUUGGUUUGAUAGCCUGAUAUGAGUUAAUAUGUUUGGAUCAAUAUAUUUUCGUAAUUAUUCUAGAUGUUCUGAAGCUUUGGCCCACUAUACAUUUCGUUUCGUGAAUAUUGAUACUAGUUUGCCUGAUCAAUGCCUUGUUCUAUGUGAAAUGCUUAUAGUAUGCCUGAUUGGUUUCGUCUUUCGUAUUUAAUCCCUGGUGUUGUGAGUUGCUUUCUCUUGCACUUCUCCUGCUGAUUUGGACUGUAUAAUUUGUUGAUAAAUUCCCAAGUCUGCAGCCAGUUCGUGCACCUGAGUAUAUCCUGUCUAUGGGGUUUGUUGCAACACAAUUCCAAUCUACUUAAUAAUAGUUUUGCUCUUAUGUAAUACGUAUAGGCUGUCUUUAACCUGCAUAUACUAAUAAUUCCGAGCUCUUAUGCAGAUUGCAAUAUGCAUGCUGGUAACCUGCACGUGAGAUGGUUGAUUGGCUAGAUAGUUUCUGAUUUCCUUUUUGUUUAUUGUUCUGCCAAAUUGUAAAAACAGGGUCAAUGAAAUAGCAAAAUGCAUUGAGUUUUUAUCGUGUGCUCGGUUUAAAUAUGGUGAAUGGAAUUGCAAAAUGUACUCAGUUUUAGAUUGAAAUUGAGAUCAAUCAAUCACAAAAUCA